UACGGAGGGGGUUAGCGUUGUUCGGAAUGACUGGGCGUAAAGCGCGCGUAGGCGGGCUGGAAAGUCAGAGGUGAAAGCCCGGGGCUCAACCCCGGAACUGCCUUUGAGACUUCCAGCCUCGAGUUCGAGAGAGGUGGGUGGAAUUCCGAGUGUAGAGGUGAAAUUCGUAGAUAUUCGGAGGAACACCAGUGGCGAAGGCGGCCCACUGGCUCGACACUGACGCUGAGGCGCGAAAGCGCGGGGAGCAAACAGG
Molecule: ribosomal RNA, 253 nt
Filed under: uncultured Alphaproteobacteria bacterium
Lineage: Bacteria; Pseudomonadati; Pseudomonadota; Alphaproteobacteria
Description: partial 16S ribosomal RNA
Rfam family: Bacterial small subunit ribosomal RNA
Source: RNAcentral